GACGAACGCUGGCGGCGGGCUUAACACAGGCAAGUCGAACGGAAAGGCCCGGCUUUUGUUGGGUGCUCGAUUUGCGAACGGGUGAGUAACACGUGAGUAACCUGCCCUUGACUUUGGGAUAACUUCAGGAAACUGGGGCUAAUACCGGAUAGGAGCUCCUGCUGCAUGGUGGGGGUUGGAAAGUUUCGGCCGUUGGGGCUGGACUCGCGGCUUAUCAGCUUGUUGGUGGGGUAGUGGCUUACCAAGGCUUUGACGGGUAGCCGGCCUGAGAGGGUGACCGGCCACAUUGGGACUGAGAUACGGCACAGACUCCUACGGGAGGCAGCAGUGGGGAAUAUUGCACAAUGGGCGGACGCCUGAUGCAGCAACGCCGCGUGCGCGAUGACGGCCUUCGGGUUGUAAACCGCUUUCGCCUGUGACGAAGCGUGAGUGACGGUAAUGGGUAAAGAAGCACCGGCUAACUACGUG
RNAcentral lists this ribosomal RNA (468 nucleotides) under uncultured bacterium. RNAcentral describes it as "partial 16S ribosomal RNA". It matches the Rfam family "Bacterial small subunit ribosomal RNA", at positions 28 to 507 of the family's 1533-position model. The record is from RNAcentral.